Molecule: unclassified non-coding RNA, 333 nt
Filed under: Zea mays
Lineage: Eukaryota; Viridiplantae; Streptophyta; Magnoliopsida; Poales; Poaceae
Description: misc RNA Zm00001eb126850
Source: RNAcentral
AUCUGCAGUGUGUGCUGGCAGCCAGUCUAGUGCAUGCUCUCUCGCUCUCCGAUGAGAUCCUGGCCGAAGCAAAGGUAGAGAGAGAGCAGGUCGGAGCAGAAGCUAGGCCCAGCCGGGCCGGGCCCAUGCUGUACAAAGAGGAGGAGGAGGAGUACAACAGGCCGGCCGGGCUCUCCCUUUUGCUCUGCAUCCAUUGCAGCAGCCUUUUAGGGUUGGAGAGUGACCGCCCGGCCGCGCCAUCUUUUUUCCGCCCAAUAUCGUCGUACCGCCCAUACCCUCCUCCGGCUCUGGCCUCGCUGCACUUGCAUCGUCUUCACUUAACUCCUCGCAGGC